GGAGGCACACAAACCUGUAGUUCCAGCUACGUGGGAGGCUGAGGCAGGAGGAUCCCUUGAGCCUGGAGUUCAAAGUUGCAGUGAGCUCUGAUUGUGCCACUGCAUGCCAGCCUGGGUUAGGGAGCAAGACCGUACCAAAAAAAAAAAAAAAAAAAAAAAGAAUGCUGAUGUUGCAGACGUUAUCUAAGAUAAAAUAGAUUUUAAGGCAAAAAGCAUUAUUGGGGGUAUGAAGCGUUGUUACACAAUGAUUUUUUAAAACCCCUAUUUAACCUUGACGCAUCAAACAACAUAGCCAUAAGCAUAUAAUCCAAACAUCAGCAGAAUUAUAAGGAAAAACUGACCAAUCUCUAGUCAUAUUGUGAGAUUUUAACCCAUUUCCUUCUGAAAUGGGUAGACAAAAAUGGCAGACAAAAGUUAAGGAUAUAUUAAUAGAAGAUUUUAAUAGGAAACUAGGCUCAGAAUGGUGAAAUUUGUUUGUUUUUGCCAAAAGUCAUCUAGCUGGUAAAGGAAAAAGUUGAUUGAAACUCAAAUCUGUUUUAAUACAGAUCAUAUAAACUGUGUUUUUCCUAACAGCACCUGUUAAACUGAUUUGCAUUUCAGCAUUCACAGUGAAUAUUGAGUGAAUCUCACAAUUACUUUAUUUCUGAUAUUUCCUUAUCUGUUUGCAGAGACCUAGGCUUCCACUGUUCCCUUUUACUAUAUUCUGUUUCCCUGAGAGCGCUGUUUCAGUUAUAUAGCAAGCGUACCUCUGGCCUUAGAUGAUCGUGAAUUCCAAGUUCCUAGCAAGAGAGAAAGAUUUCAUGUGCAAUGUGAAUAUACCAGUUGAAGUACAUUUCUCCCGAAGUCCACAGAUCCUGGUCCCUACAAAUAAGCCUGCUCAUGUGAGAUAAGAAAGGAGUUCCUGGAACCAGGAAUUCAUUCUCAGUGUAGAAGACCUAGCUGAGACCUCACUCCACAGUUUUGGGGCAGAAGUAGAAGAGACGCACAGUAGAACCGAUCUCAGCCUUGCUGAUCAUCUCGUACAGCAGCAGAAAAUGACCAUGUUACAGGAGUCAUUCUCAUUUGACGAUUUAUCUGUGGACUUCACCCAAAAGGAGUGGCAGCUACUGGAUCCCUCUCAGAAGAAUUUAUACAAGGAUGUGAUGUUGGAGAACUAUAGCAGCCUAGUGUCACUGGGUAAUAAAAGCUUUCUUGAGGACCUUGGACUAUGCCCAAUGCAUUGCCUUUUAUUUUUAGUUGCUGGGAAGUUUCAGAAGCCUAUAGCUAGGCUUCUGAAAUUUUUAAUGAUUUUAGACCUGAAACUUAGAUCACAGUUGCUUGGACUAUGACACCAAGAAAGUAUUUGGGUCUCACCUUUCAAUAAUGAAGUCGUAAGUUUGUCAUGCAGCCUCUGAAACUUAAGUAGUAAUAGUUUGAGCAGUAGUGGUAGCACCUAAUGCAUAUAACUUACU
This 1451-nucleotide small RNA is filed under the name Pan troglodytes (chimpanzee). Its description in RNAcentral is "retained intron". Lineage: Eukaryota; Metazoa; Chordata; Mammalia; Primates; Hominidae. The record is from RNAcentral.